This 1574-nucleotide unclassified non-coding RNA is filed under the name Hevea brasiliensis (rubber tree). The record is from RNAcentral. Lineage: Eukaryota; Viridiplantae; Streptophyta; Magnoliopsida; Malpighiales; Euphorbiaceae.
AUUUUUGGGUUCUUCUAACGGUAAUUUAGCUCCUUUUUGCGUCCUUCAAAUACCCCGGUUGAUAAUUUUUUAUUUUUUAUUUUAUGGAAAUACUGGAUAUAUCCUCUGCCGCUACAAUUGGCAAUGAAAGGAGUUUUAUAUCUCUGCAAUUCCUCGCUUGAGUUUUGUUUGGUUGAUUAAUCUUUCUUCCUCAGUUGUUUUUAUUUUCAAUAUAUUUCCCAUGAUUUUGGAAUUUUAUGAGUUUUGAAGGUGAGAAAUGAUUGUCGCAAUUAAUGCGGGUUUGGACAUGAAUUAAUAUAUUUGAUUUUGUGUAUGCAAUGGACUAACCAUAUAUUUCCUUGUUAAUUAUUUGUAAAACAUGUCUGCAAUCUAGUUCCGCAUUGAGUGUUUUGGGGUUCUGUUCAUUCAAAUGAAGAUCACUUCUUGCUAUAUUUUCUGAUCCAGAGGUGUCUUUAGGAUCCAUCUGCCUCCGUUGGUGCUGAUAUUUUUGUUAUUAUCAGAGCAUUUGAUGCAACAAAGAUAUUGCUGUUUCUCUAUUUUUUUAAAUUAAUUUUUUUAUUAUUUUUCUUUUUUCUGAUUUUUUUUUUUUUUGCUAAGUCAUAUUUGUUAGUUUUCUUCUAUCUGAAAUUUUAUUUGGAUAGAUACUUGCUUUUGCCAAAUUAUUUUGGACGAGUGAGUGAAAUGUCCAGAUACAUGUGAUCUAUGAAAUGUGUAUGAGGAGAUUCAGUGAUUUAUUGAUGUAGUGACUGGAGAUGCAAUCCAAAUGCCUUCUGGAUAUAUGAGUUGCAUUAUAUCUGCAGUGUGGCUUUCUAAUUUAUGAAAGAAGAUAUCGACUCACGGGGUUCAUUCUUUUGAUAAUGCUGGUUUUGGUAUAUAUCGUGGUGAUCUUUAUCCUUAUCUAUCUUACUAUACCUGCCAAGCUCCAACUAUUUGAUGAAGGAUCAGUAGUAGGUUUCAUGGACUUCAUGUUCUUUGGUGAUAUUGAGAUCACAAGCAGGUUUUUUGAAAUCCUCAAAUGUUAUCACUAAUAUAUUCAACAAUAUAUACUGAUGGAGGCCAUGUGUCCACAUUGUUUACACUUCUUCUCCUUGAAUGACAUUGUGGAGGAAUUUCUUAAAAGAAGGAAUUACGCAGUUUUAAUGCGAGUUAUUUCCCGAAGAAACCAAUUCUUUUUGCAUAUUAUUUCUCAAUAUGGCUCCAGGGAGAAAUCUUUAGUAUUCAAUUGUAUUGCUUGUCUUAUUGAUCAACAAGAAGAUGGAGUAUAUCAACUAUUCUUAUCCCAUUCUACUUUGAUAUUCAAAUGGUUCUCCCAGUGUUAUAUGGUGAAGUUUCUGUUUCUGUUCAUUACAUGAGGGGAUAGUUUCAUGGCCCCUUUGGAAUUGGCAAGAAGACAAUGUUACUGUUCAUUGUUGUGUUACUCUUGUUGUUCCAUGUGAUGGUAAGCUUAGCCUCAUUGCCAUUUAUGGGUUCUAUGCCUGCAGCUAUAGGAAGAUAUAUAGAAAGUUAAUGACCAAUCUGCUGUACUGGAAAUUCUUUUCCUUCUUAAUGCAGGUAAGUGGGACCAUCGAGGUGGU